GAUGAACGCUGGCGGCGUGCCUAAUACAUGCAAGUUGAGCGAACGGACGAGAAGCUUGCUUCUCUGAUGUUAGCGGCGGACGGGUGAGUAACACGUGGAUAACCUACCUAUAAGACUGGGAUAACUUCGGGAAACCGGAGCUAAUACCGGAUAAUAUUUUGAACCGCAUGGUUCAAAAGUGAAAGACGGUCUUGCUGUCACUUAUAGAUGGAUCCGCGCUGCAUUAGCUAGUUGGUAAGGUAACGGCUUACCAAGGCAACGAUGCAUAGCCGACCUGAGAGGGUGAUCAGCCACACUGGAACUGAGACACGGUCCAGACUCCUACGGGAGGCAGCAGUAGGGAAUCUUGCACAAUGGGCGAAAGCCUGACGGAGCAACGCCGCGUGAGUGAUGAAGGUCUUCGGAUUGUAAAACUCUGUUGUUAGGGAAGAAAAGAUGUGUAAUAAACUGUGCACAUCUUGACGGUACCUAAAGAGAAAGCCACGGCUAACUACGUG
RNAcentral lists this ribosomal RNA (497 nucleotides) under uncultured bacterium. RNAcentral describes it as "partial 16S ribosomal RNA". It matches the Rfam family "Bacterial small subunit ribosomal RNA", at positions 28 to 507 of the family's 1533-position model. The record is from RNAcentral.